This 253-nucleotide ribosomal RNA is filed under the name uncultured bacterium. RNAcentral's name for it is "partial 16S ribosomal RNA". It matches the Rfam family "Bacterial small subunit ribosomal RNA", at positions 524 to 776 of the family's 1533-position model. The record is from RNAcentral.
UACAGAGGUGGCGAGCGUUAUUCGGAAUUAUUGGGCGUAAAGGGCGCGUAGGCGGCCAGACAAGUCUCGGGUGAAAUCCCUCGGCUCAACCGAGGAACUGCCUUGGAAACUGUCUGGCUCGAGGCCGGGAGAGGGUAGUGGAAUUCCCAGUGUAGCGGUGAAAUGCGUAGAUACUGGGAGGAACACCGGUGGCGAAGGCGGCUACCUGGACCGGUUCUGACGCUGAUGCGCGAAAGCGUGGGGAGCAAACAGG